GGAGGUGGGAAAGCCCGCCCUGUGGUGCAGGGUUGGGGUUUCGCUGAAAGGUCCCUCACGUGAGGGACACAAUCUAAGCGGAGCCCCUA
Molecule: unclassified non-coding RNA, 89 nt
Filed under: Aquifex aeolicus
Lineage: Bacteria; Pseudomonadati; Aquificota; Aquificia; Aquificales; Aquificaceae
Description: putative small non-coding RNA
Source: RNAcentral